AUGUUCAUUUUGGCAGUACAUAUACUAAAAUUGGAAUGAUACAGAGAUUAGCAUGGCCCCCGUUCUAGGAUGAAGUAUGGAUUCAUGAAUCAUUUCAUAUUUUU
Molecule: small nuclear RNA, 104 nt
Organism: Bison bison bison
Lineage: Eukaryota; Metazoa; Chordata; Mammalia; Artiodactyla; Bovidae
Source: Ensembl